AAUGGAGGAAACUCUGAUGCAGCGAUGCCGCGUGAGUGAAGAAGGCCUUUGGGUUGUAAGCUCUUUCGUCGGGGAAGAAAAUGACUGUACCCGAAUAAGAAGGUCCGGCUAACUUCGUGCCAGCAGCCGCGGUAAUACGAAGGGACCUAGCGUAGUUCGGAAUUACUGGGCUUAAAGAGUUCGUAGGUGGUUGAAAAAGUUGGUGGUGAAAUCCCAGAGCUUAACUCUGGAACUGCCAUCAAAACUUUUCAGCUAGAGUAUGAUAGAGGAAAGCAGAAUUUCUAGUGUAGAGGUGAAAUUCGUAGAUAUUAGAAAGAAUACCAAUUGCGAAGGCAGCUUUCUGGAUCAUUACUGACACUGAGGAACGAAAGCAUGGGUAGCGAAGAGGAUU
This 391-nucleotide ribosomal RNA is filed under the name uncultured Gammaproteobacteria bacterium. RNAcentral's name for it is "bacterial SSU rRNA". It matches the Rfam family "Bacterial small subunit ribosomal RNA", at positions 370 to 779 of the family's 1533-position model. Lineage: Bacteria; Pseudomonadati; Pseudomonadota; Gammaproteobacteria. The record is from RNAcentral.